AGUGAACGCUGGCGGUAGGCCUAACACAUGCAAGUCGAACGGCAGCACAGUAAGAGCUUGCUCUUACGGGUGGGGAGUGGCGGACGGGUGAGGAAUACAUCGGAAUCUACUUUUUCGUGGGGGAUCACGUAGGGAAACUUACGCUAAUACCGCAUACGACCUACGGGUGAAAGCAGGGGAUCUUCGGACCUUGCGGGAUUGAAUGAGCCGAUGACGGAUUAGCUAGUUGGCGGGGUAAAGGCCCACCAAGGCGACGAUCCGUAGCUGGUCUGAGAGGAUGAUCAGCCACACUGGAACUGAGACACGGUCAAGACUCCUACGGGAGGCAGCAGUGGGGAAUAUUGGACAAUGGGCGCAAGCCUGAUCCAGCCAUACCGCGUGGGUGAAGAAGGCCUUCGGGUUGUAAAGCCCUUUUGUUGGGAAAGAAAAGCAGCAGGUUAAUACCCCGCUGUUCUGACGGUACCCAAAGAAUAAGCACCGGCUAACUUCGUG
RNAcentral lists this ribosomal RNA (492 nucleotides) under uncultured bacterium. RNAcentral's name for it is "partial 16S ribosomal RNA". It matches the Rfam family "Bacterial small subunit ribosomal RNA", at positions 29 to 507 of the family's 1533-position model. The record is from RNAcentral.